Molecule: long non-coding RNA, 701 nt
Organism: Larimichthys crocea (large yellow croaker)
Lineage: Eukaryota; Metazoa; Chordata; Actinopteri; Sciaenidae
Exons: 4
Source: RefSeq, a predicted model, not a curated record
CCUUUAUUUAAUUCCAAAGGUCCCUGCAGACAAACACACUAUAAAACACACUGACCUUCCAUAAAAUACCUUAAUAUAUUUUGUCCUCUCACCUACACACAUUACAAAGUGGACACGUUUGACCGCCACGAUGAAAUAUUUGGCUCUGGCUUUGCUGUUAUGUGCUUUGGCGUCACUGUCAAAUGCAGACUGCUACUCUGUAGAAGUUAAACCAAAUGCCACCCAUUGUAUGGACAAAAUGGACAAUCAAUGGCAUCCUGUAGGAUCUCAAUGGAGAAACAGUCGAUGUUAUGAAUGUGACUGCAGUCACUGUUGCUCUCUACCCCCUGACGAAUGUACGCGAAAUGCUGCGACCUAUUGUGGCUGGGGAUUGCACAUUGCCCUUUCAAUAUUCAUCUUCCUUCUGUUCAGUCCAUAUUAGCCGAAAUGAAGACACUGAAAACAAACAAAAACUGUCUACAGAUGCAUUUCUUAUAAUUUCUUAUGUGAAUUAUACAGGACAAAUUCAUUUUACCAUUACGGCGGAAAGACACGAUUUAUCAAAAGGGUUAUUAAAACAGAAUAAACAGAAGAUACCGUUUGCAAUUCAUUUAAGGCGCUUUAGUUUUGGCAUGAGUAGUGAUGUAUUAAAGAUGAACUUCAGUUACAAAUGUUACAAAUGUUGUACAGUCGUAGUUAAUAAAAAUAAUGCAACUGUAAAA